CAGCAGCCGCGGUAAAACGGAGGGCGCGAGCGUUACCCGGAUUUACUGGGCCUAAAGGGCGUGUAGGCGGCCUGGGGCGUCCCAUGUGAAAGGCCACGGCUCAACCGUGGAGGAGCGUGGGAUACGCUCAGGCUAGAGGGUGGGAGAGGGUGGUGGAAUUCCCGGAGUAGCGGUGAAAUGCGCAGAUACCGGGAGGAACGCCGAUGGCGAAGGCAGCCACCUGGUCCACUUCUGACGCUGAGGCGCGAAAGCGUGGGGAGCAAACAGGAUUAGAUACCCCAGUAGUCCCUGUCUCUUAUAC
RNAcentral lists this ribosomal RNA (301 nucleotides) under uncultured bacterium. Its description in RNAcentral is "partial 16S ribosomal RNA". It matches the Rfam family "Bacterial small subunit ribosomal RNA", at positions 509 to 807 of the family's 1533-position model. The record is from RNAcentral.